GCACUGCUGAGGAGUCCCAUGAUAGAACAAAACAGCUGUCCAGUGC
Molecule: non-coding RNA, 46 nt
Organism: Schistosoma rodhaini
Lineage: Eukaryota; Metazoa; Platyhelminthes; Trematoda; Strigeidida; Schistosomatidae
Source: Rfam